CGAUAUAUAAUAGACAGGUAGAGCUUAGGCAAUGGGGAGAUACGGCUAAAAAACGGCCCAAAAAGCGUCCCAGUUUGCGGAGUUGCCAGAUCGCGAAAUCCUAAUGUCUCGCUUCUCAGCGGAGGGCGAUGCUCUGCAGGGCCUUAUGGGACUGAAACGGUUUUUGUUGGAUAUCAAAUCCACAAAAGGCGUGUUAACUUGUAGCCCCUCAAAAAAAUGAUCUUUCUGCCAAUGCGGUUCUUUCAAGGCAGUAAGAUGAUUUUUCCGACAUGUCACAUUUACGUUAUGAUUUUUCAAAAAAAUUACUUUGGGGGGAACCAAUAGCGAUUAGCCUGCCCUCACGUGACGUCUGUGUUACACGACUCGUUGAGUUGGGCAAGGUUGGGCAGUCGUGUGUGUUAAGAGCGUCUCAAAAGUUGGCUAAACAGCAGUUCGACCUUUUUUAGAGUUUAUUUUGAUGUACAAUUAAGACUAGCAACGUGGCAGCCUUGAGUUUGAGCAGACUACGAAGUCUCGGCUGUGAGCUGUCAGAAAAAGUGUCGAGUCCAGAUUUGUAAUGCGAUCAAAUUCGGACUUUUCUCAUAUAUUUUGGAUUUGGUUUACAUGACACCCAAUAUAAUUGGAAAUGACCAAAACUUGUUUUGUUUGGGUUGCAAGUCCGGUUAUAAAACUGACCAAACAAAAAUUUCUCUUUUUAAAGCCCCUUCUAAUAAAAUUCAAUUAAAAAAGUGGCUAGAUGUCAGUAGGAAGAAACCUCCAAAGAUUAAAGGUGUGGAUACUUAAAUCUGGUGCCUUACCUAAAACACCAAAAGCUCUUGAGAAAAUUGAUACCCACCCAGAAGUUCUUUGUAAUACCCGAAAAAGAAAGCAAAGAAUUCCAAAUGCUGCUGAAGCUGGUUUUGGUCUGCAUUUAACAAUUCCAACUAUCGAAGACACAGUACCAGAAGAAAGUCAUUUCAUAUUGUCAUUGUCAUUUGUCAUAGUUCUGACAAACAUUAGGGCCUGAAGGUCGGACAUCCUAGGGGUUCAUAAGCAACAAGGAUUUCUUUUUCUCCCAUGAGAUUCACGUAUAAUAUUAUAUCUCCCGGGUGUGUUAAAAAAAUGUGUAGGUGUAUAAAUUCAUUUAGCCCAAACACAACAUGAGUAAAUGGGUAUUCAUGUUACAUGAAUUAUUAAUCAUAUUUUAGUAUUGUUUAUCAUUCUCGAAAUCCAAUUAGUUAAUAAUGAACAUUUUUGAUUUUCUGGAA
Long non-coding RNA from Daphnia pulicaria, 1247 nucleotides. RefSeq lists it as uncharacterized. NCBI's taxonomy places the organism in Eukaryota, Metazoa, Arthropoda, Branchiopoda, Diplostraca, Daphniidae. The transcript has 4 exons. The record is from RefSeq and is a predicted model, not a curated record.